This 73-nucleotide transfer RNA is filed under the name Propionibacteriaceae bacterium. RNAcentral's name for it is "tRNA-Glu". It matches the Rfam family "tRNA". From Rfam's summary of the family: Transfer RNA (tRNA) molecules are approximately 80 nucleotides in length. Their secondary structure includes four short double-helical elements and three loops (D, anti-codon, and T loops). Further hydrogen bonds mediate the characteristic L-shaped molecular structure. tRNAs have two regions of fundamental functional importance: the anti-codon, which is responsible for specific mRNA codon recognition, and the 3' end, to which the tRNAs corresponding amino acid is attached (by aminoacyl-tRNA synthetases). tRNAs cope with the degeneracy of the genetic code in two manners: having more than one tRNA (with a specific anti-codon) for a particular amino acid; and 'wobble' base-pairing, i.e. permitting non-standard base-pairing at the 3rd anti-codon position. Lineage: Bacteria; Bacillati; Actinomycetota; Actinomycetes; Propionibacteriales; Propionibacteriaceae. The record is from RNAcentral.
GUCCCCAUCGUCUAGAGGCCUAGGACACCGCCCUUUCACGGCGGCAGCACGGGUUCGAAUCCCGUUGGGGAUG